RNAcentral lists this ribosomal RNA (752 nucleotides) under uncultured bacterium. RNAcentral's name for it is "bacterial SSU rRNA". It matches the Rfam family "Bacterial small subunit ribosomal RNA", at positions 739 to 1501 of the family's 1533-position model. The record is from RNAcentral.
AUUGACGCUGAGGCACGAAAGUGUGGGGAUCAAACAGGAUUAGAUACCCUGGUAGUCCAACACUGUAAACGAUGAUAACUCGCUGUCGGCGAUACACAGUCGGUGGCCAAGCGAAAGCGAUAAGUUAUCCACCUGGGGAGUACGACCGCAAAGGUUGAAACUCAAAGGAAUUGACGGGGGCCCGCACAAGCGGAGGAACAUGUGGUUUAAUUCGAUGAUACGCGAGGAACCUUACCCGGGCUCGAACGGUGCAUGAAUGGACAAGAGAUUGUUCAGACCUUAGGGACAUGUAUCGAGGUGCUGCAUGGUUGUCGUCAGCUCGUGCCGUGAGGUGUCGGCUUAAGUGCCAUAACGAGCGCAACCCUUGUCAUUAGUUACCAUCAGGUAGAGCUGGGGACUCUAAUGAGACUGCCACCGUAAGGUGAGAGGAAGGGGGGGAUGACGUCAAAUCAGCACGGCCCUUAUGUCCGGGGCGACACACGUGUUACAAUGGGGGGUACAGAGGGCAGCCAUCCGGCGACGGAGCGCCAAUCUCAAGAACCCUUCUCAGUUCGGAUUGGAGUCUGCAACUCGACUCCAUGAAGUUGGAUUCGCUAGUAAUCGCGCAUCAGCCAUGGCGCGGUGAAUACGUUCCCGGGCCUUGUACACACCGCCCGUCAAGCCAUGGAAGCUUGGGGUGCCUGAAGUUCGUGACCGCAAGGAGCGACCUAGGGCAAAACAAGUAACUGGGGCUAAGUCGUAACAAGGUAACC